This 71-nucleotide transfer RNA is filed under the name Loxodonta africana (African savanna elephant). It matches the Rfam family "tRNA". From Rfam's summary of the family: Transfer RNA (tRNA) molecules are approximately 80 nucleotides in length. Lineage: Eukaryota; Metazoa; Chordata; Mammalia; Proboscidea; Elephantidae. The record is from Rfam by way of RNAcentral.
GCACUGGUGGUUCAGUGGUAGAAUCCUUGCCUUCUUUGCGGAAGACCCAGGUUCAAUUCCCAGCCAGUGUA